GGAAAAACAAAGUAACAAUAAAGCCUACUUUUUUUUUCUGGUCAAGGAAGUAGUUUUACAGAUGUUUUCUAACGUCAGAAUGACUCAAACCAUAUGGGUGAUUCUGGUCCCAAAUCUUCUAAGGUCAACCAAUCACUUGCUUUCACCUAGACAGCUGCAAAUUUAAUCAGUUGAAUUCUGACUUCUGAACAUUUAAAACUUGUAUUUAAGUCUAGCAAAGCUCAGUCUGAAUCACAUUUUUUUCUCUCAUCUUUCAGGAUAGCACUCACCUCCACGCAAAAGACAGGCACAGAGCUGAUUCACAAAGGCUGUCCCACUUAGAUGCCAGAUUUCAGUAAGACUGAAGUGAGGAAAAGGCCUUCUGAGGACCAUUUGUAAGACUUCUAGCAAAAGAGAUCAAGAGUGAAUAUGAAUCUGCCCCAGAACAAACUGAGCUUCCUGCCUUAGUUCCUGGGGUGAAGGCAAUUGUGCCACGUGUACAGUGGAUCCAGUACUGACUGCACAUUUUCAACUUUCAUGACAUGCACUGUGUUGUAGAAAGAAGAGUAACCUUUUGGGCGAUAGACAAUAAGGAUUCACCAUGUGGAGGGAAAGACUACAAGGGAGAAUAAAGCAGAAAAGAACUGAGAAUGUCUGGGGGGACAAAGCAAGAAGACACCAUGAAUACCAGAGCGCACCUCCUCACAGAAUAUAUAAAAAAGUUCGUAACUGCACCAAUAAAUGUUAAAAAGUAUCAUUGUUAAUUAAAUUAUUUACUAUGUUAAUAACUAUCUUAAUCAUUGUGAUAGUAAGCUUAUUACUAUUCUGUUAAUAACUAUGCUAGUAAGUUCAUCAACAAGUCAAUUGCUCUAGUGUCUAGAGCUCUGACAUACCUUUACUGUCCAGGCGAUUGCUACUAAACUACUGACGUGUCUCUGCUUGCCAUCAGGGCCAGCAGGUACCAGUUCGUCACAAAGAAUGAUCUUCUGUUUUGAAUCCAGAAAACCUGACUCUGUUGGUAAACAUGCAGAAAAACUUCUUUACAGUAUGGGUGACAGAGCACUGGAACAGGUUGCCCAGAGAGGCUGAAGAGUCUCCUUCUAUGGAGAUACGCAAGACCUGUCUGGAUGCCUACCUGCACAACCUAUUGCAGGGUGCCUUCUAUAGCAGCAGGGUUGGACUUGAUUUCUUGAGCUCUCUAUCAACCCCUGCAAUUCCGUGAUUCUGUGAUUCUGUGAUUUGUACUGCACGUUGAGAUUUCAGGGUGGGAAAUUCUUCAUUUCAAGUUCUCUAGGCAUUUAGGAUUCAAUUAAAAAUAUGACACUAAGAGACUUUUAGGUUUGCAAAGUGGUUGCUGAAGUAGCUGACUGUGAAGAAUUGUACUUCUUGCUCCUUGUCUGAGACACUUGAAGAGAUCUUAAUUUUUUUUAAGAUGAUGUUGAGCAUCCUCCUGAAAGAAAGCAGUUCUGUAUUCAGCAUACCUUGAACUUCCUACAACUCAGUCCAUUAGAUGACAACAACGGUAGAAGGACAAGAUGAACACAUUUACAAGUAUUUCACGGUCUGCUAUGCAGUUUUGAGAAGGAUCAUCUGGAAUGGCUGUUAACAGUUUGCUAAAAGGAUGUCUUUAAAAAUUCCAUAACGUUUUUGGUAGAGCACCAGCAACAUAAUUUCAAAUAUACUGCAAAUUCUCUGGCGUUCACUGAAGAUCUGCACUAAUAUUGGUUGAUGGAGACUAGAGCAGCAGAGAGGUGCCUCCUGUGACAUUCUUGUAACCAUUACAAUUGGAUAUUUUCUUCUUUCCUGUACCACAGUAACCAUCAUGGCAGAGGUAAAAGGGAAAAGCGAGAAGAGGAAUUGUGAACUUUGACUUCAUCUUGUGGUGGAGCUGGUACAGUACUGAGGGUGCCUUCAUUUAUUUCUAGCCAGAGGUACCAAAAUCUUUGCUUUUCUGAGAUGGAGAGGCUGGAUGUGGGGGCAAAGGGAGAAGAAAGAGGAUGAGACAAGGGUUCAUGCAGAGACACUUCAGAAUGUCUUAAAAGAUGCAGAAAAAUGAAGAGUUCAUUUUUUUCACAGAUCACUUUAACAUUAUUUUUAACCUCGCUUCUUUUAUAAUGACCCCUCUGGAAGGGUGAAACAUGCAUUCUUACCAGCUCUUUUUAUUCAACUUAAAACAUGCGUGCUGAGUUGUUGUUGGCUUUUACACUUGGGAAGUAAAAAGGAACAGGAUGUUAGGGGAAAAUAUAUUUCUGAAACGUUAUUUGUUAAAAUGUCUACAAAGAAUUUUGUGGCCUUCACAAAUAGAUGAAAGUGAAACAGCUCACAGUUUGACCUUCCAGCCUUUCCUGGGGUCUCAGUAGGUGACACUGCAAAGCAUGGAGCUGCCUGUUUCUGGUUGAAACUGCAUUACAGUAGAUUUGUACCAUAAUUUGCCUUCUUCCCAUCCCCUUUAGUCCCCCAUAGUCUCUGUAAAAUUAUCAGGGAUCAAGUGUGCCAGGACAGUCCUUGCAAACCCAUCACCUCUGAAUCUUGCUCCAGCAAAAAAUAAAUUAACUAACUUAAAAAAAAAAAAAAAAAAAGCCAACACUAAGAAAAGACAAUAGAACCAGGGUUCACCAAAUUAUACAGAAUUGUAUGGGUUGGAAGGGACCUCUGGAGAUCAUCUAGUCCAACCCCUAGUUCCUGGAGCAAUCUAGGUAAAGAAGAUGAUAACAAGACAUUGGUGAAUCUGAAAAGGUGAAGUGAAAAAGUAUCAGAUUCCAAUCCCCCAGCCAAGCAGAAAACAAAAGUGCAUUCAUGCCCAAAUAAGUGAAGAUAUUGCCAGACAUAUUCUGUGUGGAGACAAGGAUCAUUAGCAUUGGUGGAGUAAUUUUCAAAACUACACCUGCACUUUAAAGAACUCUGUUUUGCUUGCAGGCUUUGAACAAAACAGAUCUCGGUCUACUUUCUUGAAGUCUUGACCUAUACUGUUUCAAAAAAUUUUGGUAGCUAAUAAAAAACUUCAGCUAAAGAAAGGCAUACUCCCAGUUCAGGAGUUCUGUAUGGAAAAGUCUGUAUAGAAAACUUGAUAUGGAAUGGUAGCUAUAUCAGUGGAGACAGUGAAAAACCAAAGAAAAAGAUAGACAAUGAUCAGAUAUAAAUCCAUGAAGACUUGCCUCAGCACUAUGUUUAAAUAUCAGUGAAGCGAACUAUUUCUCAAAAUGUCAGAAACCAAAGAUUUCACCCAUCCAUCUCAGGCGGUAUUAUUAACCUUUGAUUUCUUAGAAGUUCAGAUGAGAUCCCUGGAGAUCUUUUAUCAGCAUGGAGUCUACAAAGUUUUUCCUUGUGCCACCAUGAGUCAAGAAUAUAAUUACAAUAGGCAGAAAUGUAGGCUCAGGAAACCUGUUCAGCUAGAAAUGGAGACAGUUAUAACAAGGGAUUGAAACAAUCAUAAAAUUUCAUGUUUUUUAACCACUAAGUCAGAAGAGGAAAUGGAGACAACUCCAGAUGCAAGCUCAGCAUCCCCUCACUCUGUUUUAAGAUGAGGAUAUUAAACACACAUUGUAACUACCCAAGCAGAAUCCAUAAUGCAGAUCAAUAGUCUUACUGCUCUAGGAACAUUGUAUUUGAUGAGUGUGAAGUGUAGCUAGUAGACAAAUUUCCUACAAAUAAUGUCUCAAUUGCUCGUCUGUAUGUGCAUAUAUUAAUUACUGAUAAUUAACAUGCUAAUUAACCUCUUAGAAAUCAUAAAAAAUCAGCAUUCUUCAAUAUUUAUGUCACAUCUAGCUACUUCUGUUGCCAAAGACAGCAAUUGUAGAAUCUCAGUGUGGGUCUGGCCUUAGGGCAAG
This is a long non-coding RNA of Gallus gallus (chicken), 3806 nucleotides long. NCBI's taxonomy places the organism in Eukaryota, Metazoa, Chordata, Aves, Galliformes, Phasianidae. The record is from Ensembl.